GACGAACGCUGGCGGCGUGCUUAACACAUGCAAGUCGAACGGAAAGGCCCUGCUUUUGUGGGGUGCUCGAGUGGCGAACGGGUGAGUAACACGUGAGUAACCUGCCCUUGACUUUGGGAUAACUUCAGGAAACUGGGGCUAAUACCGGAUAGGAGCUCCUGCUGCAUGGUGGGGGUUGGAAAGUUUCGGCGGUUGGGGAUGGACUCGCGGCUUAUCAGCUUGUUGGUGGGGUAGUGGCUUACCAAGGCUUUGACGGGUAGCCGGCCUGAGAGGGUGACCGGCCACAUGGGGACUGAGAUACGGCCCCGACUCCUACGGGAGGCAGCAGUGGGGAAUAUUGCACAAUGGGCGGAAGCCUGAUGCAGCAACGCCGCGUGCGGGAUGACGGCCUUCGGGUUGUAAACCGCUUUCGCCUGUGACGAAGCGUGAGUGACGGUAAUGGGUAAAGAAGCACCGGCUAACUCCGUG
RNAcentral lists this ribosomal RNA (468 nucleotides) under uncultured bacterium. RNAcentral describes it as "partial 16S ribosomal RNA". It matches the Rfam family "Bacterial small subunit ribosomal RNA", at positions 28 to 507 of the family's 1533-position model. The record is from RNAcentral.